This 253-nucleotide ribosomal RNA is filed under the name uncultured bacterium. RNAcentral describes it as "partial 16S ribosomal RNA". It matches the Rfam family "Bacterial small subunit ribosomal RNA", at positions 524 to 776 of the family's 1533-position model. The record is from RNAcentral.
UACGAAGGGGGCUAGCGUUAAUCGGAAUGACUGGGCGUAAAGGGCGCGUAGGCGGUUGUGACAGUCAGACGUGAAAUUCCUGGGCUCAACCUGGGGGCUGCGUUUGAGACUUCGGGACUGGAGUGCGGAAGAGGGUCGUGGAAUUCCCAGUGUAGAGGUGAAAUUCGUAGAUAUUGGGAAGAGCACCGGUGGCGAAGGCGGCGACCUGGUCCGUGACUGACGCUGAGGCGCGAAAGCGUGGGUAGCAAACAGG